GAGAGAAGUUGAGAAAAGGGACUGAGGUUGAUAGCGAGACAGAGAGACAGCGUCGGUUUUUCUCUGAAACAAAGGGCAGAUUUGCAUGCCACUGAGACAGGUUCUCAGAAACCUUGUGUUAAGAAUAACUUGGUCUUUGAGCUGCACAUGCAGGGUUUGACAUAGGAGAUCACACCGUAAGGACCGUGUGGUGGUAACAAUAUCGUCAUCCAGUGGCCUCAACAUCUUUGGGGGAGUAGUUGUGUUCUGACUGAUGACAAGGGCCUUGUAAAGACCAUCCAGACCAUCUCCUUCCUCAACCUGUCCAACCUCACCUCCUGGCAGAGGGAGACCCACUUCCCUCACUCCAAAAGCAGCGAACUAACAAUCAUGAAUCUAGAAAAUCUGAUUUUAUUUCAAUUUGGGAAUUAAUUAUCAAGACAUAAUUCAUAAAUGACAUGUGUUGAAAAAAUAAAAUACUUGUAUUGUUUUAUUGUUAAGUCUAAGUAUUAGUUUAUUUGCCAGUGUUGUUUAUAUGUGUAACAAGUUACCAAAAGUGUCAACAAUUUAACCUGACCUUAUGGUGAGAGUGAUUAUUAUUUACAUUCUCUAAUUCAAGUUCUCUCUGUACACAUACAAUGUCUUAAAUAAUGAAGUAGAGAUCCACGGAAGGGUGAUCCAAAGGGGAAUGUUAGUUGGUUGUAUCUACAUGGUGAAAAACAUAUCCACAUUUAUAAAUGUGGUUUUGUAUUCACACACAUCUACUCCCUGCUUUUAAGCAAGAAGGUUGAGCUCAUUUCAUCCUCCAUGGUCUUAACUUAAAUGGAUGAAAUUUUGACCAGUUCAAAGCCAGGCUGAUAUUCUCCCCCAAAAGAGUCUAUCAACAGGAUCGUAUUUCCCCUUCAGGUUAGAAUGUUGUUUAAAACAUCAUGGAGUAAAACUAUGGGUUAACUGAGACCUAUU
This is a long non-coding RNA of Oncorhynchus kisutch (coho salmon), 942 nucleotides long. The record is from Ensembl. NCBI's taxonomy places the organism in Eukaryota, Metazoa, Chordata, Actinopteri, Salmoniformes, Salmonidae.